RNAcentral lists this ribosomal RNA (486 nucleotides) under uncultured bacterium. RNAcentral's name for it is "bacterial SSU rRNA". It matches the Rfam family "Bacterial small subunit ribosomal RNA", at positions 30 to 507 of the family's 1533-position model. The record is from RNAcentral.
AUUGAACGCUGGCGGCAUGCCUUACACAUGCAAGUCGAACGGCAGCGCGGGUGCUUGCACCUGGCGGCGAGUGGCGAACGGGUGAGUAAUACAUCGGAACGUGCCCUAGAGUGGGGGAUAACUAGUCGAAAGAUUAGCUAAUACCGCAUACGAUCUACGGAUGAAAGUGGGGGACCGCAAGGCCUCAUGCUCCUGGAGCGGCCGAUGUCUGAUUAGCUAGUUGGUGGGGUAAUGGCCUACCAAGGCGACGAUCAGUAGCUGGUCUGAGAGGACGACCAGCCACACUGGGACUGAGACACGGCCCAGACUCCUACGGGAGGCAGCAGUGGGGAAUUUUGGACAAUGGGGGCAACCCUGAUCCAGCAAUGCCGCGUGUGUGAAGAAGGCCUUCGGGUUGUAAAGCACUUUUGUCAGGAACGAAACGGUGGGGGCUAAUACCUCUUGCUAAUGACGGUACCUGAAGAAUAAGCACCGGCUAACUACGUG